GGCUAAGGUGUCUUGGCUAAGGUGUCUUGGCUAAUGUGUCUUGGCUAAGGUGUCCUGGCUAAUGUGUCUUGACUAAGGUGUCUUGGCUAAUGUGUCUCGGCUAAGGUGUCUUGGCUAAUGUGUCUUGGCUAAUGUGUCUUGGCUAAUGUGUCUCGGCUAAUGUGUCUUGGCUAAUGUGUCUCGGCUAAUGUGUCUCGGCUAAGGUGUCUUGGCUAAUGUGUCUUGGCUAAUGUGUCUUGGCUAAGGUGUCUUGGCUAAGGUGUCUUGGCUAAUGUGUCUUGGCUAAGGUGUCUUGGCUAAGGUGUCUUGGCUAAUGUGUCUUGGCUAAGGUGUCUUGGCUAAGGUGUCUUGGCUAAUGUGUCUUGGCUAAUGUGUCUUGGCUAAGGUGUCUUGGCUAAGGUGUCUUGGCUAAGGUGUCUUGGCUAAGGUGUCUUGGCGAAUGUGUCUUGGCUAAUGUGUCUCGGCUAAUGUGUCUCGGCUAAUGUGUCUUGGCUAAUGUGUCUCGGCUAAGGUGUCUUGGCUAAUGUGUCUUGGCUAAUGUGUCUCGGCUAAUGUGUCUUGGCUAAUGUGUCUCGGCUAAUGUGUCUUGGCUAAGGUGUCUUGGCUAAUGUGUCUUGGCUAAUGUGUCUUGGCUAAGGUGUCUUGGCUAAGGUGUCUUGGCUAAUGUGUCUUGGCUAAGGUGUCUUGGCUAAGGUGUCUUGGCUAAUGUGUCUUGGCUAAGGUGUCUUGGCUAAGGUGUCUUGGCUAAUGUGUCUUGGCUAAUGUGUCUUGGCUAAUGUGUCUUGGCUAAGGUGUCUUGGCUAAGGUGUCUUGGCUAAGGUGUCUUGGCUAAGGUGUCUUGGCUAAUGUGUCUUGGCUAAUGUGUCUCGGCUAAUGUGUCUUGGCUAAUGUGUCUUGGCUAAGGUGUCUUGGCUAAUGUGUCUUGACUAAGGUGUCUUGGCUAAUGUGUCUUGGCUAAUGUGUCUCGGCUAAUGUGUCUCGGCUAAUGUGUCUUGGCUAAUGUGUCUCGGCUAAGGUGUCUUGGCUAAUGUGUCUUGGCUAAUGUGUCUCGGCUAAUGUGUCUUGGCUAAUGUGUCUCGGCUAAUGUGUCUCGGCUAAGGUGUCUUGGCUAAAGUGUCUUGGCUAAGGUGUCU
This is a long non-coding RNA of Anopheles funestus (African malaria mosquito), 1133 nucleotides long. RefSeq lists it as uncharacterized. The record is from RefSeq and is a predicted model, not a curated record. The transcript has 3 exons. NCBI's taxonomy places the organism in Eukaryota, Metazoa, Arthropoda, Insecta, Diptera, Culicidae.